RNAcentral lists this long non-coding RNA (209 nucleotides) under Elaeis guineensis (African oil palm). Its description in RNAcentral is "long non-coding RNA (EGUI_LNC068104)". Lineage: Eukaryota; Viridiplantae; Streptophyta; Magnoliopsida; Arecales; Arecaceae. The record is from RNAcentral.
GGGUGGACGGGACUCCCACGGGAGUCGGACUUCGUCCCUGACUUCUACUGCAGGUGGACUUCAUCUGGACUCCCACGGGAGCCAGACUUCGUCCCUGACUUCUACUGCAGGUGGACUUCAUCCGAACUCUCACGGGAGCCGGACUUCAUCCCUGACUUCUGCUGUAGAUGAACUUCGUCCGGACUCCUACGGGAGUCGGAUUUCGUCCC